Molecule: ribosomal RNA, 466 nt
Filed under: uncultured bacterium
Lineage: Bacteria
Description: partial 16S ribosomal RNA
Rfam family: Bacterial small subunit ribosomal RNA
Source: RNAcentral
GACGAACGCUGGCGGCGUGCUUAACACAUGCAAGUCGAACGGUAAGGCUCCAGCUUGCUGGGGUACACGAGUGGCGAACGGGUGAGUAACACGUGGGUGACCUGCCCUGCACUUCGGGAUAAGCCUGGGAAACUGGGUCUAAUACCGGAUAGGACCAUGGUGUGGAUACUGUGGUGGAAAGUUUUUUCGGUGUGGGAUGGGCCCGCGGCCUAUCAGCUUGUUGGUGGGGUAAUGGCCUACCAAGGCGGCGACGGGUAGCCGGCCUGAGAGGGUGGACGGCCACAUUGGGACUGAGACACGGCCCAGACUCCUACGGGAGGCAGCAGUGGGGAAUAUUGCACAAUGGGCGGAAGCCUGAUGCAGCGACGCCGCGUGGGGGAUGACGGCCUUCGGGUUGUAAACUCCUUUCACCAUCGACGAAGGGUUUCUAACGGUAGAUGGAGAAGAAGCACCGGCUAACUACGUG